AACAGUCAAGCCUUGUCAACACUACGGUAAAUAGCCGCGGUAUUAUGACCGAGCAAAGGUAGCAUAAUCAUUUGUCUUUUAAUUGAGGACUAGAAUGAAAGGUUAGACUAUGUAAUUUGGUCUUAUAAUAAUAUUUGGAAAUUUAUAUUUUAGUAAAAAAGCUAAAAUAAGUUUAAAGACGAAGAAGACCCUAUCAAGUUUUACAAUAAUUAUCUUAUUUUCAAAUUAAGAAGUUUAUUGUUUGGCUGGGGCAGCAAAUAAAUAUUUUUUAUUUUAAUAUUAUGGAAUAUGGCCCUUGAAAAAUCAAAAAAUUUUUUAAGAAGAAGAAGAAACUGUUGGGAGGACAGCAUAAUUUUUUUAGAGAGGACUUCUCACCCCCCAAGAUUGUGUACCCCGAUGGUGCGGGAAGA
Molecule: ribosomal RNA, 410 nt
Filed under: Vaejovis carolinianus
Lineage: Eukaryota; Metazoa; Arthropoda; Arachnida; Scorpiones; Vaejovidae
Description: partial 16S rRNA
Source: RNAcentral